Molecule: ribosomal RNA, 766 nt
Filed under: uncultured bacterium
Lineage: Bacteria
Description: bacterial SSU rRNA
Rfam family: Bacterial small subunit ribosomal RNA
Source: RNAcentral
CUUAACACAUGCAAGUCGAGCGAGAAAGCUCUCUUCGGAGAGUGAGUAGAGCGGCGCACGGGUGAGUAACGCGUGGAUAAUCUACCCUUAAGAUCGGGAUAACAGUUGGAAACGGCUGCUAAUACCGAAUGAUCUGCAUAUUUAACUUUAUGUGGUAAAGGUGGCCUCUAUUUAUAAGCUACCGCUUUUGGAUGAGUCCGCGUCUCAUUAGCUUGUUGGUGGGGUAAUGGCCUACCAAGGCAACGAUGAGUAGCUGGUCUGAGAGGAUGAUCAGCCACACUGGGACUGAAACACGGCCCAGACUCCUACGGGAGGCAGCAGUGGGGAAUAUUGCGCAAUGGGGGAAACCCUGACGCAGCGACGCCGCGUGUAGGAAGAAGGCCUUCGGGUCGUAAACUACUGUCAAGAGGGAAGAAACUGUUAAGGUCUAAUACGCCUUUUCACUGACGGUACCUCUAGAGGAAGCACCGGCUAACUCCGUGCCAGCAGCCGCGGUAAUACGGAGGGUGCAAGCGUUAAUCGGAAUCACUGGGCGUAAAGCGUGCGUAGGCGGCGCAACAAGUCAGGCGUGAAAGCCCUCGGCUCAACCGAGGAAUUGCGUUUGAAACUGUUGUGCUAGAGUCUCGGAGAGGUUGGCGGAAUUCCAGGUGUAGGAGUGAAAUCCGUAGAUAUCUGGAGGAACACCGGUGGCGAAGGCGGCCAACUGGACGAGUACUGACGCUGAGGUACGAAAGCGUGGGGAGCAACCGGAUUAGAUACCCUGGUA